GUUCCCCGCCUUAAAAGAGACCGCGUGGAAGCGUCUCGCCCUUUUCCGCAGUUUUCCUGGCUGUCGCGGUUGACGUUGGAAGGAGGCUUUCUUCCGCUGCCAUGUGGGAACUGACUUCAAAAAACAGUGGAAAGGACCAGUGUGUAGAGUUGCGGGAGGAACAUGCAAAGGGAGCCAGAAGCUGCCCUCCAAGAUGAGUGAUCGUGAUUGAAAUGCCAACUCUUACCUGGAAAGAUGUCUCUCUAAUCUUCAAAGAUGGAAGUCCAUCCAGAUUUCCUUGAAGAGGCUUGUACACUAUUUGUACUGCUAUGAACGUGGUUAAAAUUAGACACCAGAUUUGCAUUAUUUAAGUUGAGAAGUGAAAGAUUUUAGAAGAAUACACUUCUAAGAUGAUGCAUGGAGGUAGGCUUGGACAAACAUUACUACAAUUCAGUGCACUCAAGACUACAGAACGUGUCCAUUUUUUCCUUGAGACCCUAUGAAGACCUACAUAUUGGGGCAAAAAGUAUUUUCUGAAUUAUUGUGGUAGUAAACUUACAAACUAACUCUUCUUCCCUUUGUUGUGCACAAUGAAUGGGUCCAGUUUCAGAGCCCUGCAGUUGGCAGGGCUUAAAAAUUCAUCUUGCACCUCUUACAACAGCAAUCUCAAAGGUAUCCAGGCCCUGGGCCAUCUAGGACUUCAGAGGUAACAUUAUUUUGAAUGCAUCCAUAGGCCAACUGAUGGUUGGUGCAGCUCCUAAAACAGUAUUAAGGAGUCUUAAAUACACUCCAAACCUAUGAAAUACUGGCCUUGCCAAAGGUUCUGUGUGGCUAUAUGGAAAAUGAGUGGUACUACUGAUAUGUUCCAUCUGUUAACAGUUUCUGUUACUUUUCUGCAGGCUUUAAGUUUUUUUUUACUUAAUCCUGUGGGUAAUCUGUCCUUUAAAAUGCCUGUUGAAGUUAUAUGAAAAAAUAACACCAUUUAAAUUGUGAAAUAAGACUACACUGCAGCUAAGCCUUAAAAAAAAUGAGCUAAAGAAAUUGCAAAUUUACAGUUUCAUGACACCAGUAUUGUUCUGCUUCUGUCAAUUUUUUAACCUAAUGGAAAUCCAUGCAGAUUAUGGCAUCUCUUCUGCCAUUGUUUAUCAAUGUUACUGUGACUUGAGUUGGAGGUUCUCUGAAAUAUUUUGUUUCCUAAAUAUUCCUUUUAUGAUUGUUUAUACCCAGAGAUAGAUAGGGAGGCAUGAGGAAACUUGGAUAUUGCCACCUGGCACAAGUGGGUUUUUAUUAAGACACGCACAAAAUGUUAAUUUUGUAUAAGCAAAUGCACUUAAGCAAUUGCCUGUCUUGAGAGUGUAAUUAUGCUUCAUAAACAGAUGCACUGAA
Notechis scutatus (mainland tiger snake) is the source of this 1365-nucleotide long non-coding RNA. RefSeq lists it as uncharacterized. NCBI's taxonomy places the organism in Eukaryota, Metazoa, Chordata, Lepidosauria, Squamata, Elapidae. The record is from RefSeq and is a predicted model, not a curated record.